GCCAUCUGCCCAGUCUGAUCCUAAACGGCCCGUGAGUUUCAGAAUGAGGCCUCCAUGUUGUUUUAAUUAAUGUUGCUGGGAGGAUGAAGGACCAGAUCUACCCGAAUCACACUUGGAAUAAAAUGUUCUUCACACAAAGCAGCCCAAGAGUUACCUGAUGACAAAAGAGCAAACUGAGCUGAAAGAUAAAGGGGGAGCAAGAGAGCUUGAGCGAGUGAGCGAGCGAGAGAGAGAGAGAGAAGGAGGGAGGAGAGACGAGAGCAGGACGCGCAGCAAACGACACAUAAUACACAGCGAGUAACGGCAACAUAAGCUGUCAGAGUCCUGAGCUGCACACAGAUCUCAUUAAAGGAUGUAUCGACCGUCGCAGCACAGUCUGUGUGGAGCCUGACGUUCCUGAUCGUCCCUGCUGUUUUCUGAACAGACUCACUGCGUCUCUGCUCUGCUGGCGAGUGUGUGUGUUGUGUUUGGACAUCUGAUUCUCCCUCUUCCUGAAGCCUGUCCACUGCGGUCAUGGACUGCGGAUUGCGUCUGCCACCCGUCAUCGAGGAGGUCUUGGAUCCUGCAGGUGUGUGUGUGUGUGUGUGUGUGUGUGUG
This is a non-coding RNA of Danio rerio (zebrafish), 597 nucleotides long. NCBI's taxonomy places the organism in Eukaryota, Metazoa, Chordata, Actinopteri, Cypriniformes, Danionidae. The record is from RefSeq and is a predicted model, not a curated record.